This 110-nucleotide ribosomal RNA is filed under the name Caerostris darwini. Lineage: Eukaryota; Metazoa; Arthropoda; Arachnida; Araneae; Araneidae. The record is from RNAcentral.
AACGGCCGUACCAUGCUGAAUACCGGUUCUCGUUAGAUCACCGAAGUUAAGCAUCAUUGGGCGCGGUCAGUACUUGGGUGGGUGACCACCUGGGAACACUGCGUGCCGUU